Molecule: small nuclear RNA, 133 nt
Organism: Macaca fascicularis (crab-eating macaque)
Lineage: Eukaryota; Metazoa; Chordata; Mammalia; Primates; Cercopithecidae
Gene: U2
Rfam family: U2 spliceosomal RNA
About the family: U2 is a small nuclear RNA (snRNA) component of the spliceosome (involved in pre-mRNA splicing).
Source: Ensembl
AUCACUUCUCAGCCUUUUGGCUAAGAUCAAGUGUAGUAUCUGUUUUCUCAGUUUAAUAUCUGAUAUGUCCUAAAUUAAAAAUAAUAAAAAAGAAUGAUUGUAAAGGGGAGAUACGAGAAACCAGAGAAUCCAC